Molecule: ribosomal RNA, 497 nt
Filed under: uncultured bacterium
Lineage: Bacteria
Description: partial 16S ribosomal RNA
Rfam family: Bacterial small subunit ribosomal RNA
Source: RNAcentral
GAUGAACGCUGGCGGCGUGCCUAAUACAUGCAAGUCGAGCGAACGGACCAGAAGCUUGUUUCUCUGAUGUUAGCGGCGGACGGGUGAGUAACACGUGGAUAACCCACCUCUAAGACUUAGAUAACUGCGGGAAACCGGAGCUAAUACCAGAUAAUAUUUUCCACCUCAUGGUUCAAAAGAGAAAGACGCUCUUGCUGUCACUUAUAGAUGCUUCCGCGCUGCAUUAGCUGGUUGGUAAGGUAAUGGCUUAGCAAGGCAACGAUGCAUAGCCGACCUGAGAGGGUGGUCGGCCACACUGGAACUGAGACAGGGACCAGGCGCCUACGGGAGGCAGCAGUAGGGAAUCGUCGGCAAUGGGGGGGAGCCUGACGGAGCAGGGCCGAGUGAGUUGUGAAGGUCUUCGGAUCGUAAAACUCUGUUAUGAGGGAGGAACAUAUGUGUAAGUAGCUGUGCACAUAUUGACGGUACCUAAUCAGAAAGCCCCGGCUAACUACGUG